This is a long non-coding RNA of Zingiber officinale, 1431 nucleotides long. RefSeq lists it as uncharacterized. The transcript is spliced from 5 exons. The record is from RefSeq and is a predicted model, not a curated record. NCBI's taxonomy places the organism in Eukaryota, Viridiplantae, Streptophyta, Magnoliopsida, Zingiberales, Zingiberaceae.
GCGCAAUUGGCCUUCCCUUCCGAGCCCGGAAAUGCCAAAACAUUGAGAUCCAACUCCAUGCUUCGCUCCUUGGGCCUCUCCCAGGUCUUCUUCAUCGUCUUCCUGUUCAGAAGUUUUGAACUCAAACUAACUCACUUGCAAGUCCAAGCACUGCUCCCAAUCCAGUGGCAGAGGAUCAUUGAGCUGGAGAUCAAUGUUGCUACUUUGGCUCACUGGAUCACUACUCCAUGUCAGUUGUUGCUUUCUCAGAUCCAAUUCCUUUCGCGACAUCGAUCGAGGUGGGCCAAGUGAAAGCUCUGUGUGCUCCAUGGCCAGUUUGAUCCAAAUAGAAUCAGAGUUGGAGAGGAUCCCAUGCUGCAUGCUCAGUUCAUCCCAUGUCAGCUGCAUACUUGUGAAACUACAGUGUAUUAACUCUCAUGGAGUAAUGAAUUGCUUCCAGUGGGUGGGCAUUCAUGAGCAGGCUCUCAUGGAAUUUAAUUCUGCUUAUGAAAUGAGAAGGAAAAAAAAAUGCGAAGUAGAUAAAAUGGUGGAGGGAAGGGACGCUCGCAAAGCAAACCUCCUCAACCAUCUCCACGCAAUGCCAGGGCAAAUUAAUGUGGUGGGCUGUGGCUUCUACGAGCUCACCAGUGCCAACAACUGCAAUUAAUCAUGGAGCUUGCCUCACUCUCUGGCCAUGAAGGCUCCAAGGCAUUCAAUGUUCGAUGACGCCAUUAACGCCAGUGGAUUUAAUGCUGCAACAGCCGACAACUUCUAUGCUGGAAGAUACUUGCAAAACGAUUGGAACAGGGCAUAUUAAAAGAUUAGAAACUUACAAGUGAGUGUUUUAGGGAAAGAAGAAGACCCUCAGUGUGCUCUAGAAUUCACCAAACAAUCGAGUUGGACUUAGAGACAUGAUAAGAGGAAUAAGACAGUGUCUGUUUUGUUCAAAAAGGAUCCAAGGAAAAUCAUUGUUAAAAGAAAAUUCAUUAUGCUUGAUGGUUCCUCCUAUUGAUAUGGUAAGGUGUUUUUCUAUAUCGCGCCGUGUCUGCCUCAUCGACAUCUUUCUGAACCGGAGCAUGCUCGCCUUUCUUGAAGGAGCUAUCGUCCGAAGGCCUUCGCCCGAAGAAAUGCCAUGGAGAAGUAAAGAGGUGGUCAUACAAAACCAAGCAAAGAACAAAGGCUAGUUGGAUCUUCUACCAUCCUAAUACACGCCAUUUUCACAUAGCACAUAAAACAAGUUUGUCAAAAGGCCUAAACUUGCUAGUUUCUCGAAAGGAAUACACCAGGAACAAACAAGAAUGUUGGCUGGUAUCUUAGGCCUAGUGUGAGGUUGGAAGGAUCCAAUUCCAAGCGAUGUAGGGCCGCUAAAACAACUCAUGGAUAUUCUUCCUUUUUUAUCACUCGGCCGACAAUAAAAUAGGGAUGUCAAUUUAGAUGGUUCAGAUAGAGUUG